RNAcentral lists this ribosomal RNA (143 nucleotides) under uncultured eukaryote. RNAcentral's name for it is "partial 18S ribosomal RNA". It matches the Rfam family "Eukaryotic small subunit ribosomal RNA", at positions 1299 to 1458 of the family's 1831-position model. The record is from RNAcentral.
UGGUGGAGCGAUUUGUCUGGUCAAUUCCGAUAACGAACGAGACUUUAGCCUACUAAAUAGUUCGGGGACCCCCACAAAGGGGCCCCGCUUCAACUUCUUAGAGGGACAGGUGGCGUUUAGCCACACGAGAUUGAGCAAUAACA